ACUCAUAUGGAUUUCUAAUGUUUUCUUCAUGGAUUUUGAGUAAUUUGCAGGUCUAAUUACAUCGCACAUAAGUUUACGUUAUGCAUCACAUCACAAGUUCAAGUGGGUUUCAAAGCAUUAGUAAAACAAUAAGCGUAGCAUCAACUUUUCCACCGCCUUAGUAAUUGUUUCACACUUAUCCCUGACCAUUGAGGAAGAUGCUGCUUGUUAGCUGGAAGCUAAAAGGGAUAUAUGCCACUGAAGUUGUGCUUGGUGGUUACAAUUUAUGGUGAAUUGGUACCAGUUAAAACAUGUAAUCAUGGUGAUUGAACUGGGGUUAUGUUCUUGUACCAAAGAUGGGAGAGGAAUUAUACAGUUUUUGUAUGUGAUCAAGAGGCCAUUGAAGACCUCCAUGACAAAUAAUUGAAGGUAUAAAACUAUAAUCUUAUCAUUCUUAUGGAACUGUGUGUUUUGUCUUCUUCUGGUCAUAUUUCCCAAGAACAAUUUAUGGUUUCCUUUUCACUGUUACCAUUCUAGUUAUCUUCUUUCUUUGCUUGAUUUUAGUUUCCUGUUGUUAUUCAAGAUUAACCAGUUUCUGUAUUCUACUUAUGUCUGUUUGUUAGGUGUCUGUGUGUUUUGAAUUAGAGUUUCUCUCACUCUUGGUAGUCAGUUCUGUUUCUCACACUAAUUAAAGAGACUUUGUUAAGUGUCUGUUUGUAUUGAUGAUAUGUUUAUAUUAUCGAUUACACCGCUGUUCCACUUUGCUUGAUUAGUUUCUAUUUUGAAUUUGUUGGUCAUUGUAGAAUUGUGGAAAUUGAUGUGAUGUGUAUAGAAUUUAGGUCUGUUGUAUAACUUACAUUAUGCUUGUAAUAGUUAUAAUUAUGUUCUUGUGCUUCUAGGGCUUUCUGAAUCAAAACAAGUCGGAGCAAGUUAAAUCUCUUUUCUCUCCCUUCUCAAGAUGCUUAAACAUGGGAAUCGCCAGUUGUUAGGGUUUUGCUAAGUUUGUAUGUUCCAUUGAUUUCCGGUUGAGAAUUGGAUUAUAGUUGAAGCAUAUGCGUUUUAUACUGGAUGAAUUUUUGUUAUGCGUUUUGUACCGGAUGAAUUUUUGUUAUGCGUUUUAUACUGGAUGAAUUUUUGUUAUGUGUUUGGUACUGGAUGAAUUUUUGUUUGAUUGAAGCAAAAUGAUUGUUAAUUUCGAUCUUUUUUGUCUAUUGUUGUCUGAAUGACCAAUCAUUCUGUUGCAAAUUGCAACACAUAUGAAACUGGCUAUUCUAAAUUGAUUGUGUGACAUCUAUAUUCGCAAAAAAAGUAGAUUAUGAACAUCUCACCUGAUCUUUGUGAGUUGCAGAAUGCAAUAAGAGCUAUGCCACCUUAAGAUGUGGUUGCUAAUGUCUUAAAGGGCAAAUGGGAUCAUGAGAGGACCAAAUCUUCUUUACCGUGAUCGCUAAAUCCAGUUAUGUUUUAUCAUUUUAUUUUAUGCUUACUUUCAGUAAUUAUGUAUUAAAAUUGUUAUGCAUGUGAAGUAUGCAGUAUAUAUUUGAAGGCUUUGUAAUCAACCCUCUUGCAACUUGUAGUUACUAAGUGAACCAGGUACCACCUGAGGAUCAUCUACUCCAUUUAGGUUGGUGCUGUCAAAAGUUGGUAGAAAUCUGACUCCCAAAUGUCACUGGAUACAUGGAAACGAUUAUCAGCGGCAAAUACAUCUCUUAUAUUAAAGGUGUCAUUGAGAAAUAAAUAAGGUAUCAUUUACAGCUGCAGCGUGUAGUCCUGGCUAAACGGGUAGGUUGGGUCAUGUGUCAGAACGGUUUCGUACAAAACAUGUCAAAUUUGGUUUGGUCAAACCGGGUUAAGACCAAAAAAUAGGUUCUGGUCAAGUCAAAACGAAGGUUUUAGAAAAAUCAAAUGACCAAAAUCAUCUUUAUUGUUGAUUUUAAAUGCGUUACUGUUUUUUCGAACAUAUUCUUAUUUCUUUGUAACUGGCAAUAGGAAUUUAGAUUCAGACGCCAUCAAGAUUGAGUAACCAGCCUCUUUUUUUGAAUCUGCUCUUCAAGUUGCUUUAUGAUGUCUUUGUGAUUUCACUUUGUAUUAUGAUUUAUGUUGGAUAUAUAAAGGUAACCAUAUAUUU
RNAcentral lists this long non-coding RNA (2104 nucleotides) under Helianthus annuus (common sunflower). RNAcentral describes it as "hypothetical non coding rna". The record is from RNAcentral. Lineage: Eukaryota; Viridiplantae; Streptophyta; Magnoliopsida; Asterales; Asteraceae.